CCCUUAGACGUUCUGGGCCGCACGCGCGCUACACUGACCAGUGCAUCAAGCAUCCGUCCUUGGCCGACAGGCCCGGGCAAUCUUUGAACGCUGGUCGUGAUGGGGAUAGACUUUUGCAAUUUUUGGUCUUCAACGAGGAAUUCCUAGUAAACGCAAGUCAUCAACUUGCAUUGAUUACGUCCCUGCCCUUUGUACACACCGCCCGUCGCACCUACCGAUUGAAUGGUCCGGUGAAGCCUCCGGAUUGGCGCGCACCUCGGUGCCGCCGAGAAGUUGGCUAAACCUUACCAUUUAGAGGAAGGUGAANUCGUAACA
This 315-nucleotide ribosomal RNA is filed under the name uncultured eukaryote. RNAcentral describes it as "partial 18S ribosomal RNA". It matches the Rfam family "Eukaryotic small subunit ribosomal RNA", at positions 1470 to 1796 of the family's 1831-position model. The record is from RNAcentral.